Molecule: non-coding RNA, 46 nt
Organism: Fukomys damarensis (Damara mole-rat)
Lineage: Eukaryota; Metazoa; Chordata; Mammalia; Rodentia; Bathyergidae
Source: Rfam
ACCAAGGCUUUUAUCAAAGCCAAUUACCAGAAAAUUAAAUAUAUUU